ACUUCCCUCUCCCUAGUCUCCUGGGAGUGCAAAAAGCGCAACAUAGCCCCCCCUGGCCUCGCUGUUUUCAACGGUUCUCAGGUUGCCGGAGCGGCGUGUUUGAACCGUUAGAACCACAGGUUUGAACCACAGGCACCACAGGUUUGAACCGUUUCAACGGGAGUAAUGGCAAAACGGACGGAGUAGCACUGCGUGGCCUCGCAAUCCCAGCGACCCGACGAGCUCGCAAAGCGGUGCUCGGAAGACGACCCUCCCAAAGCCGACGACGCGCACUCACCUCUGUGGACAGCGAAGAAACAUCGUCGCACUGUGACAACGGCGACUAGUACACGGCAUAAGUACAAGUGCAUGAUUUGUGACAUGUGCUUCAAGAAAAUCUACCUAAAGGAGGUUCACGGGGACGCUGACACGAGCUGGAUCACACUGUCCGCUGCCGCCUUGCAUGCGAUCUGUGUCCAACAGCUUUUGCAUUCCAUUGGGGACUUGCUGCGCCACUUUGAAGCGAAACACGGGAUCGUCGCGAGGCGUGACAAGUUAAAGUUCAAUUUGUUGAAAGAAUUCAGCGACUGGAGGGAGGCUAAGGAUGGCAGAGAGCAUGUUCGCUUCAUUCUCCACGACGGACCCAAGGGACGAGAUGAGGGUGUCCUGAAAAGGUAUUACUACUGCCACCGCUCUGGAUCAUUUCAGAGCAAGAGGUAAAUGACAACUGAGAACCCAGGGCACUUGUAAGACUAAUGUGCAAUGCUUAGCCACAAUUCAAGCUGCAGAGAAAGAUGGCAAGGUGACAGUAGAGUACCAGGCAGAACACUACGGCCACCCGAAGGAACUGAAGCACCAGCGCCUCUUUACGACUGAGAAGGAGGCUUUAGCUGAUAAACUAAAGCAAGGCAUCCCCGCCCGUAAAGAUCUGGUAGACGCACAUUCUUCUGCUGGCAGUGAGAUGGGCAGGCUACAUUUGCUCUCAAUGAAAGACAUUGGCAACAUCUCCGCCGAGCAUGAAAUUCUGACGAAAGAGCUACGGCACUGAACAAAGUCAGAUUCCCCAGUCCUGUACUGACAUGGAGGAAGGAAAACAAAAAGAGCUUUGAGCUUGCCCUGAUGACUGUCCCUCAGAAAGAACGCCUCACAAAGCUUGGCCCCAAGUUUCUGUGCAUUGACUACACUCAUAAUAUAAAUGGCCACAAUCUGCAACUGAAGACUCAUGACAGCUGCAGAAGAUCAGUCAGGCAUGCCAUGCACAUAUUUGAUCUCAAAGUAACUAGACACCAAGGCUAUGAAACACUCCUUAAGGCCAUAAAGGUAAUGCAUGGGAGGAAGUGAUGGGCUGUGCCCAACAUUGGAUGCUCUGCUCGUGGCAUGUAAGCCACGACUGGGCUCUGAAGUUGCAGUCAGUCCAAGAUAUAAGCAAACCCGUGACCGUCUUUGCGACGAGUUGUGGGCGCUGAGAAAUUGCAAAGAUGAGGGUCAAUUCCAACGACCUCCGACAGGCUUCCCGUGACCUCCGACAGGCUUCCCGUGUCAGAAACUAAGUGAAGAGGCUGAUCCAAAACUAAUUCAACAAGUACAGGAGUUUCUUCAGUACUUUGGGCACUACCAUGGUGGCAGAGCCUAACAGUGGGCGCUCUGCUCCAGAAAGGGCAUUCCUUUUAAUACUACCAACCACUUGGAGGCAAUGUACAAGGACCUGAAGUCACGCUUAUGCAUGGAACUCACAACCAGAGGCUUGACAAGCUGUUGAUGAUCCUCUUCGAACUGAGCCGUGACCGGCUCUACAAGCGUCCCAAGUCGCUCGUAAAAGGAAAAACGAAUCGGCAUGAUGCAGCCCUUUUUCGGAGGCACCAGGAGGGGAUGAAAAUUCCAGCAUCAGAUGUAGAACAGCUGCAAAAUGGCAAUGGCUGACUUGUAAAGUCUCAGUCCCAGACAGAGAGAAGCUACCAUGUUGAGAAGGGCGACCCCCGCCAGAGUUGCGUGCUUCGUUGCAGGGACUGUGAUAUCUUUAUCGACAGUUACAAGUGCACUUGCAAUGACAGCCUGAUUUCAUCAUCAAUGUGCAAGCAUAUUCACGCAGUAGCUUACCUGGGGAUUCAUGUGACGACCGUGGAGGAGGCCGACACUGAGCCAGGUGUAGAAAUGCCAUCAACAACACUUGAAGCAACAGGCUUUACGUUAGAUGAUGAGCCACAGUCCCUCUUGGAUGACAUUCGGCAGGGUAUUGAGGUAGGGAUGGAGAAGACUCAACCAAAUUCAGAGGACAACAUAUGUUUAACAAUAAGUGGACUGAACAAGUCCCUCUCCAGGAAGAAAUUGACAAGCUCUUCAAGCUCCCUGGUGUUGAAAUACCGUACCAAGGCCCAAGAAGUACUUGACUCUGUUCCAGAUGAGACUUCUCCAAAACCUAGGGUAAUCCCUCACAACAAAAAGAUGGAAAAACAACCACGGUACUUUCCCCCCCAAAAAACGCCCUGGUUCUGGUCCCAUGCAUGGCAAACCUCCCACCAGCUUGGAGCAGCAGCACAUCAUGCAGGGCCUUGUAGCCAGGUGAGUUCCUACAGAAGGAGCAGCAUCCGCUCAGCUCCAUGUGGAUGUUCCGAGCAUGUCUGUGCUGGCCCUCAAGGAGCAUGACUACUUUGCAAAUCAGUAGUCGUGACAAUUGGACUACAAAAAAGGGGCAGUAUUCUUCUUGCAAAAAGGAAUGGCGUGUUGGACAGCUUGGAUUUCUUUCCACUUUGGAGAAUGUCACGAGAGGCUCGAGCUAAAGGCAAGAGGGGCAUCUCUUACCAUCCUCCAACAGGUUACGUUAGGCGAGGCAUUAUAUGCUGACCUUAAUCGUAACGCUUUUUUAACAACCGGGGAUUGGCAAUUUUAUUUCAGUUGAUACGGAACGGUUGUCUCUAAAUUAACGGGCAACCAUAGUGCCUCGAAAUGCUUGUUUAUAAGCGUGCCCCUCCAUGAAACCGGCACUCUUUUUUUUAGAUAGUAUUACUGCACGAGAAUGUGCAGCUUUUUCCGCUUUGGAGAAUGUCAAGAGGUGCUCGAGUUCGCCAUUCUCCAACAGGUGGCUUAUGUUAUCAGCUGGUCUUAAUUGGAAAAGUUUUAAUGGCCAGAGCUUGCCAAUUUAAUUUCAAAUUUAUGCAGACAGGUUACCUCUAAGUUAAUGAGUAACCAUAAUACCUCAAGUUGCCUGUUACAUGCUUAUUUUUUAUUUUGCAUACUGCUGCACGGGAAUGUGAAAGUUGCAGUUCCCGCGACAUACCAAAUUAUUUUAGUAUAUGACUUAUAUGCUUUAGGAUAUAAUCGUUUUCUUGCUAAUAAGUGCCUAUAAUCACUGUUUCAUUGUUUUGUGAGCCAAGAGGGAGUGACCACUGGCGACCACAAGCAUGAGGAUCUGCUACAGGAAGCAUAAUCAUGUACCUGGACCUCGAGACCGGUGGCCUUGGAGAUGUCAGCAAGGCUACGGGGUGAUUUGCUCACCGCGAGGCUGUGCAAUUUAGUGGCAUGGAACUAGUGCCUCAUUUCGGAGAUCUCCAUGGCGAGUGAACAGUGCAAGGCUGGUGGGGCAAGAAGUUUAUUGGAAGGUUUUGUCAUGCCAUGGUGAUCAACAUUCAUGACAGGUUCAUCUGCCGAACUAGCUAUGCAAUAGAGGCAAGCCUGCUAAGUCACUGGGAUUAGUCGUCAGUGUGUGGCGCAGAGGACUUCUAGGGACAAGUCCAGGAGACGAACAUGCAAUAUUUAUAUUCUGUCUAUAUUUUGGUGAACCAAUGUUACUGUUGACAUUGAAGUGUGGGACAUUUCGCUUCUGCGGCAAAAGAUGUCAGGUGUGUAAUGGGGUCCCACAAAAAAUACCUAUGCUUUGUCUUGAGCUAUGUUCAUAGAGACAUGGCAAGGGGGGGCCAGAAGACUGAUGAAAGUUGUGCCGGUGAUGGUCACAGUUUGGGAGAUGUUGCGGAUGGCUAUGUGAUGGGGUGCUGUGACCUUUGAUGGACAACUGUUUCACUGAGUCAAACUGUGGCAGUGUUUCUGCUAUCUUGAGAGGCAGCAUGGUAACGCAUCAACACAGUGACAGAUUUUACUUUAAACUCAAAAUGGGGCACAGGAAUAAAACAACUUGCUUGCCUCAUCGAGGCACGUCUUCAAAUGUGAACUAAUAUCUUGUCUUUUCAGGACCACCUUUUCUUUCUUUAUUUUUUUUUUUUCAUAUUUUUUUUUAUGUCUAGGCAAAAGAAUCAUGUUAAGGUCCGUUCACACUCUUGCAACCGAGUACAACCGAAAGAGACGAGACUGGUUUGUAAGCCUUUUCGGACCUCUUAGGACCGGAUGCGCUGCAGUGGAGCUGGUCCUAAGACGAGACUUGUUAAAACCUCUUAAAAUUUCUUGGGACGAGAGAACACGUUUUGUAAUUUUCCAAGAAAAAACCGACCUGUGAAAUACACCUUUGACGAAAAGUUUAGAUUGCUACGUGCAGGCGUUAAUUUUUACGGUCCAUUUUAGGUCAAGCCUGGCGGCUUGGACCACCCUUUAUUUGUAAAAGGUUCAUAAAAGUGUUCACUGCAAACGCAUAUCACCAAUCUUAAUAAUUAAUGAGUCAUAUUUUGACCAGUGGAAAAACCACAUCUUUAUUUUCACUCGAUUUGGGUAUGUUUACGAUAAAUAAAUAUUGAGCGAGUAAAAUACAAUUAAAAAAUUGGGUUUGUAGAACAAGUAAUAAAUAAUGGGCCAAUUGGUUACGGACGCCAGCAAUUGACUCCGUAAGUGUGACGUCAUGAGUCCAAACAAACCGUUGCUAGGGUCGAUGUUGACAAAUACAUGUGGCUAGGUUUCGCUACAAAAACCCGACUGUUCAUAAAUCAGGAGUAGGAUUUAAACUUCUAAAAUCACAGAUAUAGCAAGCUUGUAUGUUUAAACAGAAGUGUGCGAAUAAUCGCUUGUUUGUGGAAUAAUUACAACUACAACUUCCGGUCUUCAAGAUGCCUGCAGCGGAGUACGAAUACAAGAAGUAUGCCGUCUGCCACAAGCUGGCGCCAUCGUUUGAAUUGUGUGAAUAAAGACUAUAUUCUGAUAUUGUA
RNAcentral lists this long non-coding RNA (5063 nucleotides) under Ixodes scapularis (black-legged tick). RNAcentral describes it as "uncharacterized LOC120849050". The record is from RNAcentral. Lineage: Eukaryota; Metazoa; Arthropoda; Arachnida; Ixodida; Ixodidae.